AGGCCCCUCAAACACACACUGCAGAUGGGGGCUCAGUCGGGGCCCCUUCCACAGACAGAGCCCUGGUCCCUCAAGGUGGAUAGUGAGGCUGCUGCUCCUCCAGCUGCCUCUGUCUCAUCACAGGCCAGAAGUGGAAAGGGUUUCAAACCCAAGCCCCGUGUUCCUGUGUGUGUUCUAUGCAGCAAGGCUUAAAAGUUUCAAACUGGUUUGGAACUCAACCAGGUCCUCCAAAGGAAACCAAGGCAGGCACAGGAUGGGGGCAGGCUGGCUUGGCAGGCAGCUGUGCCGAUCCACCCAGAGUGCCUUGGGAGGCAGUGGGGUUGGCUCUGGCUGCUGUUAGCUGCAGCCAGGCCUCUCCUGCGUCCCCAGGGUCUGGAAGGAGGGCUUCUGCAAAUUUUAUAAGCCAGCGACUGCGAAGGCCUGGAGCCCCACCUUCCACCCAUAACAAAGAAAGGGAUAGUUUCAGAACUGCUUUUAUUUGGAUAACUGACUGAAGGAGUCUCAUUUGUA
RNA transcript from Nomascus leucogenys (northern white-cheeked gibbon), 510 nucleotides. RefSeq lists it as uncharacterized. The transcript has a single exon. NCBI's taxonomy places the organism in Eukaryota, Metazoa, Chordata, Mammalia, Primates, Hylobatidae. The record is from RefSeq and is a predicted model, not a curated record.